CAUGACGUGUGUUCGACUGACAAUAGGAGCCGUUUGGUAUACGCUUUUGCAUCACUAUAACACUAUACAAAUGGUUUUUAGUUUGACAGUAACAUAUUAUUGCGUGCCGAGCGGCGUAUAGAUACACGUACACCAUAAUAUAUAUAUAUACGUACUGUAACCGGUCAAAAAACAGAUCCGUUACUUUAUCGCGGUCGUAAGUAGAUAUAUAUGCAUACAUAUAAUGUAUUAAGCAAUAUAGGUUCCUUGCUACGUUCGGGAUCUAGAAAAAAAAAAAA
Cinara cedri is the source of this 278-nucleotide non-coding RNA. The record is from the annotation of a GenBank genome assembly. NCBI's taxonomy places the organism in Eukaryota, Metazoa, Arthropoda, Insecta, Hemiptera, Aphididae.